Molecule: non-coding RNA, 47 nt
Filed under: Trichobilharzia regenti
Lineage: Eukaryota; Metazoa; Platyhelminthes; Trematoda; Strigeidida; Schistosomatidae
Source: RNAcentral
ACCAGCCGACGAGUCCCAAAUAGGACGAAAUGCAUGUUAUCCUGGAU